CCUACGGGGGGCUGCAGUAAGGAAUAUUGGUCAAUGGAGGCAACUCUGAACCAGCCAUGCCGCGUGGAGGAUGAAGGUCCUCUGGAUUGUAAACUUCUUUUAUAUGGGACGAAAAAAGGCUUUUCUAAGUCGUCUGACGGUACCAUAUGAAUAAGCACCGGCUAACUCCGUGCCAGCAGCCGCGGUAAUACGGAGGGUGCAGGAUUCAUCCGGAUUCAAGGGUGUGAAGGGGGGCUUAGAAGUCUGGGUUGAAAUCCCCGAGCUUAACUUGGGAACUGCCAUUGAUACUAUCAGUCUUGAAUACCGUGGAGGUCGGCGGAAUAUGUCAUGUAGCGGUGAAAUGCUUAGAUAUGACAUAGAACACCAAUUGCGAAGGCAGCUGGCUACGCGGAUAUUGACACUGAGGCACGAAAGCGUGGGGAUCAAACAGGAUUAGAUACCCUAGUAGUC
Molecule: ribosomal RNA, 450 nt
Filed under: uncultured bacterium
Lineage: Bacteria
Description: partial 16S ribosomal RNA
Rfam family: Bacterial small subunit ribosomal RNA
Source: RNAcentral